GGGUAGGCAUCUUUUUAUUUUUAAAAGACCUUUUUCGGAAGGUAUGCUUAAAGAGGGGCUUGCGUCACAUUAGUUAGUUGGCAGGGUAAAGGCCUACCAAGACUAUGAUGUGUAGCUGGACUGAGAGGUUGAACAGCCACAUUGGGACUGAGACACGGCCCAAACUCCUACGGGAGGCAGCAGUAGGGAAUUUUCGGCAAUGGAGGAAACUCUGACCGAGCAACGCCGCGUGAACGAUGAAGUAUUUCGGUAUGUAAAGUUCUUUUAUUGAAGAAGAAAAAAUAGUGGAAAAACUAUCUUGACGAUAUUCAAUGAAUAAGCCCCGGCAAACUAUGUGCCAGCAGCCGCGGUAAUACAUAGGGGGCGAGCGUUAUCCGGAAUUAUUGGGCGUAAAGGGUGCGUAGGCGGUUUAAUAAGUCUAUAGUUUAAUUUCAGUGCUUAACACUGUCCUGCUAUAGAAACUAUUAGACUAGAGUGAGAUAGAGGCAAGUGGAAUUCCAUGUGUAGCGGUAAAAUGCGUAAAUAUAUGGAGGAACACCAGAGGCGUAGGCGGCUUGCUGGGUCUUUACUGACGCUGAGGCACGAAAGCGUGGGGAGCAAACAGGAUUAGAUACCCUGGUAGUCCACGCCGUAAACGAUGAGUACUAAGUGUCGGGAUUACUCGGUACUGAAGUUAACACAUUAAGUACUCCGCCUGAGUAGUACGUACGCAAGUAUGAAACUUAAAGGAAUUGACGGGACUCCGCACAAGCGGUGGAUCAUGUUGUUUAAUUCGAAGAUACACGAAAAACCUUACCAGGUCUUGACAUACUCUGCAAAGCUAUAGCAAUAUAGUGGAGGUUAUCAGGGAUACAGGUGGUGCAUGGUUGUCGUCAGCUCGUGUCGUGAGAUGUUAGGUUAAGUCCUAAAACGAGCGCAACCCUUGUCAUUAGUUGCCAGCAUGUCAUGAUGGGCACUUUAAUGAGACUGCCAAUGAAAAAUUGGAGGAAGGUGAGGAUCACGUCAAAUCAUCAUGCCCCUUAUGAUCUGGGCUACAAACGUGAUACAAUGGCUGUUACAAAGAGUAGCUGAAACGCAAGUUUAUAGCCAAUCUCAUAAAAGCAGUCUCAGUUCGGAUUGAAGUCUGCAACUCGACUUCAUGAAGUUGGAAUCGCUAGUAAUCGCCAAUCAGCAUGUCGCGUAAAUUAUUUGGA
This 1193-nucleotide ribosomal RNA is filed under the name Candidatus Phytoplasma oryzae. Its description in RNAcentral is "bacterial SSU rRNA". It matches the Rfam family "Bacterial small subunit ribosomal RNA", at positions 182 to 1378 of the family's 1533-position model. The record is from RNAcentral. Lineage: Bacteria; Bacillati; Mycoplasmatota; Mollicutes; Acholeplasmatales; Acholeplasmataceae.